GCAUAAAGAUGUUACCUCAGCGCAGACUGAAAGCGGUAGCAGAGACUGCUUUUCCAUGUCUAAACGAGAAUGUCGAGCAAGAUGUCCGACAGUCGACAGGAACAGAUAUAUAGUCAACGUAUGCCAGUAAGGAAUAGCACCAGCAUCAGCAUCAACAUCAGAAUCAGCAGAAGAGUUGGCUGGCUGGUUUGGAUCUGUCAUGUCUUAGAAAUCACGAGAUUGCCAGGGCAAACGUCCAAGCAUCAACGCUCGCAACAGAGUUUACUGGCAAAGUGUUCCGAUAAUUCUUACCCGUCGGCAUGAAUUCAUUACUGUCUGCGUUUAAGUUACGCGCAGAGUUGCCGAGUCUUCAAGUGACUUUGUCGAUCACCGCCACUGAAUUUACAUUCUUGAAUUCCAUCAGAUUGACUGACGUGCAUCUGAACACUUAUUUACGUUGGUGAAAAGUCUCGGAAGUUAAAAAUCAUCGUUUUUUUUAUCAACUCGAGUGAGUCAAAAAAAUUAGAACGAACACGAGAGAGGAAAUAAAAACAAAGAGCGAAGAAUAAGUUUGUGGCAGCGGAAAAGGGAAUAAAUGAAGAGAGUCAAGGAUGUGUGAGUAUGAAAAAUAGUCAGUGUAUAAAAUGUAUGUGUAGUAGCAGAUUUAAACUACGCCACGAGCUGCAUCACGGUGGUGCCAGAAUGCAUCUGUCGCGUAUUAUUAUUAUUCCACGGGAGCCUUAGAUCAACAGCACUAACUAGGGGAAUCCCUCAGCUCUCUUGCUCUCGGAAUUUCUUUUGAUGCCGUUAAUAGAAUUUUCAUAUGUACCACUUGUGCACCAUCGUCAACUUAUCACUUUUUAACAUUACUAUUGUUAUUAUUAUUAAAAUAAUUUUUUAUCCAUCUUGUCUCUAAGCUCCACACUUGCGUCAUGAGUAAUAUUAUUCACUGAAAUUUGUUUACCUUGGGAUUAUCACGUGUUGAAUGUAAAAAAGGAUUACGCGUAUAUAGUUUUAGAUUUUGUUUUCCAAGCGAUAAUUACCAUACAGCUGUUCAUUUUGUCUUCUCAAUAUUUUAAUAACCUGUUCGUACACUCACUUGUACAAUUUAACUGCUCUUGUUAUUUUUUUAAAUGCUGAGAAAAAAUUACUCGACACGUGUAAAAUAUUACGUUCUUUAGACUGAGGCGCGACGGGAUAUCUAAGCGAGUAAUUAAUUCUUUUGCCUUUUCGACGCCGAAUACAAUUAAUUUAUAUUUAUUUUCAAUAAAUCUUUCAUUAUUAGGGGAAGGGUGGGGGCAAAACGGGAUACUUAACGAAAAAUUUAGUUUUUAGGGACAUAAAUAUCGUAAAUUGGCUUCAUUUUGAUUCUAUUUGAAAUAAAUAUAACGAAUGUUAGACUGCCAUCAGAAAAAAAAUUUUUAUUUUCUGCGGGCAAAAUGGGAUACCCCAAAAAAAGUAAUUUUUUUUUUUUUUUUUUUUCAAGUGAAUAAAAUUGAUGUAAUAAUGUCUUUCUAAAUUGAUGUAAGUAAUAAAAUUUACUCUCAACAUAUUUUUAAAGAAGUUUUUCCUUGUUAUUUCUUUUCAAAAUUUGGAAUUGGCGCCAAUAUUAUACUUUUCACAAAAAAUAUAAAAAUGUUUUUUUUUAGCUUUUAAUAGUGUAAAAUGAUACUAGAUGUCAUUUUUGACCAUUUUCGAAAGUUUUUCGAGAAAAAAAAAUUUUGACGAAAUUUUGAGGGUAUCCCAUUUUGCCGGCCUAUCCCGUUUUGCCCCCCCCUUCCCCUACAUCAAAUUUUUUUUCUUCACCAAAUUUUUUAAGUAGACUAUUUCACCCCAGUGCUUUGCAUGCCUUCAUACUUCAGAGUCUUCGUAAACUUUAUAAAAAUCCACGACGAAAAAAAAAAAUUCAACAUUUUUCGGGCAUCCCGUCGUGCCCCUCGCAUAUAAAUUUUUUCAAUACAUGCUCGCUAGUUUUUUGAGUUGAAAAAUUGACUAUAAAUAGCUUGGGUACUAUUUCAGAAGGUUGAGAGGCCAAGACAUUUGUAAAGAGCUAAAGAAACACAUAUAUUUUAGUAACUGAAGUCUUGAAUAAAGUACACAGUAGUAAGUUACUCAGGUUAUUGAUGCGAUAAGAAUGUAGUAAGAGGUGUGUUAAGUGAGUUCUAAUGCUCUGAAUAAAUUUAUCAAUGGGAAUAAAUAAAUCGGUAUUUGUAACAGCUUGUCGGGUGGAGAAUACUAUUGUAGCAUAAAGAAUAAGCAACAUUUGGUGCCGACUAUUGUAUGUAUAAAUGUGUGUAGAAGCUAAAGUACAAGAACAAGUACAAGUGCGAAAGUUAAAUCCGCGGAUUAAAUAUCGAUCACGAUACUAUUCUUUCUCAGUAGAAUAUUUAUGUACAUAUCAGAGUAAAGCUGAAUUUACGGUGUAGUAGGUGUAUUGCGUAAUUUUGAAACCACGAGUAUCGGAGUUGUUAUUGUAUGAAUUUAUACGUAUUUAUUAUAGCGCGCAAUAAAUAAACGAAUGCGCAAAACCUAAAAUUAUUAAAUGUAUUAUAUCGAUUCCGCAUUGUAUUGCUAAGCCGCGAAACCGCUUUGCUUGCCAAAGCACAAAAUUUACACUAGAUUUCAACGGAUGCGUCACCCAAGCGCACGAUCCGUUAUUUAAUUAGUCGUUUCAUAAAACAGUCACGUCUACUUGGAGUCCAUUAAAAAUCGUGGCACAAAAAAAGGAGACAAAAAAAAAAUAAAAUAAAAAAAUGUUUAUUCAAAUUAAUUUAAUAUCUACUGGUGGCUCCUGUCAGCUGGUUUUAAACUCCGCAUUCCUCUUCAUCUGUCUCAUGGAAACUCGACUGAUGGAACUGACUAGUUUUUCGUCCGUGGCUUCUUCUUUGUGACUGCGAGACCGUAAAAAAAACUACCCGGGCUCAUUAAACAAUCAGCGGCCUAAGCAAACAGUUGAAAAAAUUUUAAGGAAAAACAAGCCGUAGUCGAGUCUUAAAAAGGCCACUUGGGCCCACACACUGUCAUCUUACCAUUUUGUCCUGAUAUAGGGACCCACGGAGUCUUAUUUCAAGUUCUGUUGAUAUGAGAUGAGUUGAGUUAAUUUUUGUAU
This is a long non-coding RNA of Microplitis mediator, 3088 nucleotides long. RefSeq lists it as uncharacterized. Lineage: Eukaryota; Metazoa; Arthropoda; Insecta; Hymenoptera; Braconidae. The record is from RefSeq and is a predicted model, not a curated record. The transcript is spliced from 3 exons.